RNAcentral lists this transfer RNA (65 nucleotides) under Phallospinophylus setosus. Its description in RNAcentral is "tRNA-Asn". The record is from RNAcentral. Lineage: Eukaryota; Metazoa; Arthropoda; Insecta; Hemiptera; Miridae.
UUAACUAAAGCCAAAAAGAGGCAUUUCAUUGUUAAUGAGAUAAUUGAGAAAUAACUCUAGUUAAA